RNAcentral lists this ribosomal RNA (118 nucleotides) under Lepisosteus oculatus (spotted gar). The record is from RNAcentral. Lineage: Eukaryota; Metazoa; Chordata; Actinopteri; Semionotiformes; Lepisosteidae.
GCUAGCAGCCAUAUCACCCUGUAAAUCACAACUGAUAACCCACUAAAGCUAAGCAGGUGUGCGCCUUGUCAGUACCUAGAUGGGAGACCCCUGGGAAAAACUAAGUUUGCUGCUGGAA